RNAcentral lists this long non-coding RNA (732 nucleotides) under Linum usitatissimum (flax). RNAcentral's name for it is "long non-coding RNA (LUSI_LNC005804)". The record is from RNAcentral. Lineage: Eukaryota; Viridiplantae; Streptophyta; Magnoliopsida; Malpighiales; Linaceae.
AAAAUUUCAAAUUUCGCAAGAACCUCUAUCCGAGUUAAUUAAUGCACGAUAUCCACUGCAUUUAUUUCACCAAAUUACUUAGGUAGCAUGCAAUCAAUACAUUUAAUUAUUUUUCUCUUCCCAUUUAAUUUUAUUUUGGAACAUAACUCCUAUAUAACGAAGCACAUCCACUUAAUUAUCACAGUUCACACAAGCUCAAGCAAAGAGCAACACAAUGACAAACUCUUCAACAAAAUUUGCUCUCGUUUUCCUUUUCUUGAUCGUCAUUGCCGGUAAGCGUGAAAACUCUGUCUCAUUUCUUUCUUUGCUACAAAAGGAUUCAACGAAAUGUAUUACAUGUCGUGAUCAGCUCUUUUAAUCAAUCCGUUUGGAUCGGAGUUAGAAGCGAUAAUAAAAUCAACUUGUAUUGCAGGAGAGAUAAACGCACAGAAGUACCCGCCCACGGGCGAGAAAUGUGGCGUGAAGGGAGAUUGCAAGGGAGGAGUUUACUGCGUGUGUGAUAAGGGGAAAUGCUAUUGCUCUACUGCCCAUGAUGAGCCCUCUUUUAUCAAAGGAGAAGCAAGAUCAUAGUAAAAAUAAUUGUGUGAUCAUAUAACUAAUAAAUUAAGCUAGCUUGUUGUUGGGAGAUUUUGAAUAAAAUAAAUUAUAAUUAUAACUCGUCAAUCGAAAAUAAUCGAAACAAAUAUCUAUAAGUAUUUCAUUCCACCUUAUUGCCUUUUUAUAUCGAAAGAA